RNAcentral lists this long non-coding RNA (3020 nucleotides) under Equus caballus (horse). Its description in RNAcentral is "lncRNA (ENSECAG00000047339.1)". Lineage: Eukaryota; Metazoa; Chordata; Mammalia; Perissodactyla; Equidae. The record is from RNAcentral.
CCACGGAGUUCACCCAACUGAACACACAAGUCUAACUUUUAAGAUCAGCCAGUUAAAUGAAAAACAGCCUUAGACCGGCCAUUAUAAAAACCCGGUACAAUUUAUGGUGGACCGUUCCUCUUAAAAAUGGAGGUUAAAAAACCUGAUUAUGAGACAACAGUAAAGCAAAGUCAAUGAAUGAAAGCCUUUAUUUCCUAUUAAAGGGAGAUGCGGUUAAUGUUAAGAUUAAGAAUGAAGUAGUUACACCUAAUAAAACCCAUCCUCUGCUCAAAAAGUUGAAGAAGAGAAGGCCUUCUAAGAAGAAGGGAGCAGGACAGGAACACGUAGGCAGCCCAAGAGUCUGGUUUAGUCAGUGCUGCUCAGAAGGUGAUCUUUCAAGACUUCUUGAAGGCUGCUGGGGUUCCUUGAACUACGAAGACGGUGAAUGGAUGUCUUUUGUUCCUGCUCCAUCUAGCGGUGCGUUUGCUUCUUCACAUGUACAAAAUUGGGGCCCGAGGCAAGGAUGGCUGUCUACUGGGAGUGCUUUUUUCUCUUUUUCACUUUGAAAAAGAAGAUAGUGAUUUAAUAAAUAAAAAUAAGCCUUCAGCUGUUGUCUAGUUCUUAUAUUUGAAAUCCCCUCUCUGACUAAUGUAGACAUUCCAGAGGAAAAUUCUCAGUAUUGUAAACACUUGAUAUUAUUUUUUCUGUUUUGGCGGAGCAGUUCUCUUUCUUAAGUUAUAUAAUUUUGGAGUAAGAAGCAGCCAUAGAGCUUAUCCAAUGAGAUAAUUUAUAUGACAACCUUUUGUAGAUAAUAAUUAUGGCAAACGUGACUUCUUGCUACAAGAUUUACGUCCCUCCGGCAGAUGAAGAAACCCCCUUGCCUAAGUUAAUUUUUUGCAGAGUUGAGACCAGCAACUAGGUCCCCCCACUUCCAGUCCAGUGUUCUGUCUACCGUGGGGCGACUUACUGAUGCAUUGGCUUACCUCGGAAAGAUACUAGCGUUAACUCCUCUAUUAUUUUCUAGUUUAAAAUAAAACCCUUAAACAGUUUCUUGCCUGUGAGCUUAGUUUCAGUCCCCCGCCUCCUCUUCUGCCACAACCUUCUUUGAUGUGAUUUUGUGCUGGAAAGUCCAAUGUGUGUUUCACUAUUUUACAAGUACGGUUGAUUCUUGUUAUUUGUGGUAGUUAUGUUCUAGAAAGUCACGGUAAACACUGAAUUAGUAAGUACUGAACCGUUUGUCGUAGGGGAAAUACAGGAUUAGGUUCUCGUGAGCCUCUAGUUUCAACGUUUUCAUCGACAGGUCAAUGCGUAGUCUUAUGUGUUUUUCUGUUUAAAGACACCUUAUUUAAUAUAUAUUAUUGAUCUGUUAAUAUGAAACUCAUGUCCAACAGCACUAUAACUCAUGCCUGUACAGAGCUUAUCUACACAAUGUAUUUUCUCUGUAAGGCGCAUCAUGGCCUUUUUGCCCGUAGAACUUCAGCACUGUGCUUGGAGGUCAUUUUAAACUGCAAAAUCACCCCCCAAAAAAGCACAAAAAUAAAAAAUGUCAUUAAAUAGACCACAAAAAGGGCACUUAUUUUCAGUGGUGUUUUGGGAACAAGAAGGAAGAGUGUCACUUGUUUGACCUCAGCUGGGAACUUUAGUGUCAGAUGCCUCAAGCUUUUCACUGCACGUGUCCACAAAUGACUAUGAAAACACUGCAGGUAUUGAUUUUGAGGUUACAAAUAAAUUUUAGUGAGUAGGCAAAUUUACAAAUGCAGAAUCUGAGAAUUUUGAGGAUCGACUGUCUAUGUGACACCUGCACCUGAGAGAGACUAGAGGUGUCCAUGUGGCCCUUGAAGUACUUGGGGCAUGUUUCAUGCCUUUUAUAUGAUUUAAACAAGUGAUUUGCAAAGGGGUACAAUGAGAGAAGGGGUAUAUGGAGUUUGAAAAUAACAGUACUUGUUCCAUUUAUUUGUUACUUAUGUUGAAUUUCAAGUAAUAAAGGAGGAUGUGAGAAUUUUAUGCUCAUAAAGGAAGUUUGACUUUAAAAAUACUGAGAAACGUAGGUUUGGUUUUUUCUUUAGAAUGAGAGGCUUCUUUGCUAAGGUCCCUGGUUGGCUACAGGUUUUGACUCUGAAGAUGACGUGAGUUUUAAUACAGCUUGUCCUGGUUCUGCUGUCAAAAAUUCCAUGUUAGCCUGGCUUAAGACUUAAGAGACAAAUAGAUGGCGCAGGCCCGCAUGUGCACACACGUGCACCCACGCUCUUACAAAGUGUAGAGGAAGAGUAGUUUUAAACUAAGAUGAGGAUGAAAUGACGAAAGGUAAUUGUCAUUCCUUGCCCGUUUAUUCUUUUAAGGUAAUAAUGUGUGAUGGAAGUGAAAACAGCAAAAAUACCUAAAGCUUAGGCCAGGGUUUGUAAAUUUAAAUGUGUGCAAUGGACCUAGGACUGAAUCAUGCCAAGAAUAAGAAAAUGGAGACUAUGGAGAUGGCGGGGAGAAUGAGUGUCCCUUUUAAAGGGGGUGGCAGCCUGUGGGAAUGGAGGACUAAAAUUGCCAAUGCUUCAGGGGAGGACAGAAAAUUUAGAUUUUUCUGUGAACACUGAUUUUUUAAUGUUGGUAGCUACUUUGAAAUAAAAUUUAAAUAUUGUGUGGGUAUAUAAUAAAGAAUUCAGCCAGCCUUGGUCCCUGGGUCCUGGGAAGGAGGUUCUAUAUCCUUGGAAUUUUCUGAGCGGCAAGAAUACUUUUCUUAUUCCUGAUGGGCCCCCCAGACUACACCUAAUAGUUUAUGAGAUGAUGUGGUUCAACCAAUCAAGCUGACAUGAUGAAGCCCCAAUAAAAACUGUACACACUGAAGCUUGGAUGAACUUCCCUGAUUGGCAACGCUCUGUGUGGUCACACAUCAAUGUGUUGGGAGGAUAAUAUGUCUCUGAAGACACAGGAGAGAACGAUGGAAGCUUCACCUUUGGGGCCCUCCCAGACGUCACCUAUGUAUCUCUCCCUCUGGUUGGUUCUGAUUUGAAUCCUUUUGCUAUAAUAAAACUGUAAUCGUAAGUAUUGCA